UUCAUCAUGGUUAAGCAGGCAAAAGCUGAAACAAAAGUUGGGGUUGGAAUUGAAACCCUUUGGAAAGCUUUGGUUGAAGACUUGAGAUUUAUAAUUCCCAACUUCAUGCCCAACACUGUUGAAAAGAUUGAGCUCCUCCAUGGAAAUGGUGGCCUUGGCUCCAUCUUCCUCUUUCAUCUUGCCCAUGUUUCUGAAUAGGACACGUGUUCGUCCCUUCGCGGACAUAGGCCCACUGGGAACUAAUUCUUAGUGGAGAUGUCGUCGAGCAGAAGGCGUGUCUGCUCAUGACAGGACGAAUACCCCAAACGGUUACGCCCCAUACGUAUCCACAACUGGCGGCGCGGCCCUGGGCGACAUGCUCAGGUGACGCAGGCAGCGGGGCUAUUCUGCACUAUCGGGGAUGCGCACCUCUCUGUCCUACCGUACCGCGUGCAACGUCCCUGCCACUUCCAACCGUCGUCCUUCUUGGUCGACCCUUCAGGGCUAUAAAAGGAAGGGCGAUCCUCCACACAAAGUAAGUGAAAAACCUAUCAUUAAACUCUCUAGUGUCUUAUUCCUAUUCUUACUCUGAUUACUGACUUGAGCGUCGGAGUAUAUUAGGCAGGACACCGCAUCGGCAUCGAGUUCUUUGGUUUCAGGUAUGGUGGAUUCAUCUUUGAACUGCUCAUCCGGAGACCACGUGGCCUUUAACCAAAAGGGAAAUUGGUAUAGAUAACCUAAAAAAGUUUACACCUUGCUCAACUGAUCUCAAUUAGAAAAAUUAACUCAAUUGACCUAAUUUUAACUUUUAUGACAUUUCAGAGAGGAUGUAAUGACGAAUAUACCCCCGAAUUAAUUAAACUACAACCAAUCUGGUAUGGCAAUAGUUCGAAUCACGUAGGUUGGUGUAAUUAAAACCAUGGGCGAGUUCGACUUGAUUCAUGACCGUGAAUUUAUUAAAGUACCACCAACUUAUUAAUUCCCCACCAAAUUUUUGUACUAUCAUUUAAUAUAUACCCACACAUUCUCACAGAUUGCAGAGAAUAAAAGUAUGUUUCAACCCUUAUUGUCCUCAUGCACAUCUUUCACGUUUUUUUUCAAAAACUUCCAUACCUAUUCCAACAAUUUUCACAUCUUGAAUACCUUAAAGGAAGACAACUUUUCAUCUUUGACAUCUUGAACGAGGUUAGUUUUUGAUUGGUUCAUAAUAUAUGAUGUAUAUGGUUAGAGUGGAGAAAUUUCUGAACUUUUAUGUGUAUUUUUGUGGGUCAAAAGUUCCGUAAGUCAAUGAUUCAUGAUCGUGUUUCUCGUUUAACGGCCGUGGUCAAUGUUUGUAUGAUUAACGGUCGUGGUAUUAGGUGAUUUCGACCGUGGUUGCAUACAGAUACCCUUGAUCGCCUCACAGCCAUGGUUCGUUUUGUUUGAUUCGCGACCAUGGUUGUAGGUUACCUCGGCCGUGGUUGUUUGAUUCACGGUCGUGGUAGCAUGUUCCCUCGAUCGUGGUCCUUUAUUGUUUGAUUAAUGACCGUGGUAGCAUGUUCCAUCGAUCGUGGUCUUUAUUGUUAAAUUCAUGGUCGUGGUAGCAUAUGUUCCCCCGACCAUGGUUUGAUUCAUGGUUGUGGUAGCAUUUUUCCUCGACCAUGGUCCUAUAUUGUUCGAUUAACGGCCGUGGUAGUAUGUUCCCUCGAUUGUGGUUGUGUGUGCCCCCAGCCGUGUUUGUGUUUUAUAUUAUAGGUCGUGUCUUAAACUAUCACGGCCGUGGUGACUUUAAUUACUAAUUACUUAUGUGUUAUUCUUAUUAUCCAUGCAGGAUGCGUCCACUAUUUGUGAUCUACGAUGACAAGUGGAACGAGGCUGGUACAAUUUACGAAGGUGGCGUCAUGGGUGGGCUAGAUGUUGAUGAAACGAUAACAUAUGUCAACCUAGUAAGUGCCUUGCACAUGCUUACUAGAAUUGAUCCCUGACCAAUUUGAUCUUGUUGUAGAGUGUGUAUAUAGAUUUGAUUUUCACUACGAAGUCCCGAACAAUCUGAUAUUUGAUGAUACCAGUUUGAGAUUCUAUUUGAAUGGCCCUCCCGAUCCAUCACAAGUACCCUUGUACAUAACCGUCGUACCUAAAGCAUCAUAUAGUAGUGGGAGCAGGAGAGGAAAUAAUUUUUUCGAAACUCAUGCAUCGUCUUCAUUCCCAUAAUACCCAGGAUAGAAUGAUCCAUGUUUCGGCCAUUCUAUUUCUAUUGAUUCUCCUCUGGACGAUGUCGGUCUCCCCUCAUUUGUCCCACAGAUUACACCAUUGAUCGGUAACGUUGUCCCAUGUAACCUAGACGGCGACGAAUCUUCAUAUUAUGGUCAAUUGUACGAGAAUGAGGUUGAGUACGAAUUUCGGAGCGAUGAUGAGUAUGAUUAUGACGAAUAUCAUACCGAGGAUGGGGUUGAGAACACUGGUGGGAACGAGUAUGACAAUGGGGAGGAUGAUGAAUAUCAUACCGAGGAUGUGUUUGAAAACCAUUAUGAGAAUGAAGGUCAACAUGUUCAUGGGUCCCAUACAGUGAGUGAGAAUAGUCGUUUCACGUCCGAUGCAAAAUAUCAUAAUUGUCAAUGAGUCUGACUAUGUAGGUGAAAUUGCUCUUAAGGGUAUUUUCCGUUUGAAGGAAGAACUACGCUUCAAGCUGUCUGUGUUAGCUAUAAAGCUUAAUUUCAAAUUUAAGGUUAAAAAAUCGACGAAGACAUUGUACACCGUUGGAUGUACCGAACAAGGUUGAAAAUGGAGUUUGCGUGCAAAGAGUAUCCGAGGUGGUGACUCAUUCAUCAUUUCGAAAUUUAAUGAUGUUCACAAGUGCAAAUGUGAAAUACUGAACCAUGACCACAGGCAAGCUCGGAGUUGGGUGAUUGGUUAGUUAUUGAAGUCCAAUCUGGAGGAUGUCAGCCGUCAGUACAGACCUAAGGACAUUAUUAACGACAUGCGAAAGAACUAUGGGGUGAACAUUAGAUAUGAAAAGGCAUGGCGGGACAGAAAUGUUGCCUUGAAUUUGCUUAUGGUAAAGCAUUUUAAGGUUGUUAACGCAAGCACUGUUUUUGAAGUGGAGCUGGAGGAAGAUAAGUAUUUUAAGUACGCGUUCAUGGCCCUCGAUUGCUGUAUUAGAAGGUUCUCCAGUUGUAUCCGCCCAGUGCUCGUGAUAGAUGGUGCACAUCUCAAGGGUAAAUAUAAAUGUGUUAUUUUUAUUGCUUCUUCUGUUGAUGGCAACAAUCAAAUAUAUCUUCUUGCGUUUGAAAUUGUCGAUCAGGAGAGUGAUCAAUCCUAGACUUGGUUUUUGAAUAUGGUCAAGAUUUGUAUUGGAGAGGUUGAUGAGUUAUUAUUCGUAUCUGAUCGACAUGUUGCCAUUACGAAAUUUGUUAAGUAGGUCUUUCCUCAAGCGACUCACGGAAUGUGCAUGCAGCAUUUGUCCACGAACCUUAAGGACAAUUUCAAGGACGAUGCCAUACAAGAAAUGUUCAUAUUAACAGCAAAGGUCUGUCGAAAAUCAUAGUUCAGGUACUAUUUUUCCCAACUAGCAGGAUUUCUAGAAGUCCAAAGAUACUUGGAAGGAAUCGGUUUUGAAGAUGGACUUGUACAUUUCAACUGGGUUUGAGGUAUGACCAAAUGACAUCUAAUAUUGCAGAGUCUAUGAAUGUAGUCCUCGUCCAUGCACAUUAUCUGCCAGUCACUGCACUUCUUGAACAUGCUCGUGCGCUCUUACAAUGCUGGUUUUACGAAAGGCAAACCUACGCAUCCAGUCGCGAAACCAUUCUUACUUACUACGGUGAGAAUAAGAUGAGUACUGCAGAGAACCUCUCUCGUACUCACUCCAUCACACCCAUUGACCACUAUGAGUUGGAGGUGAACGAUGGACUAAAAAAGGUGCGUGUGAAUUUAAAUGCAAGAACAUGUGGAUGUAAAGAGUUUGACUACUUCCAGUUUCCUUACUCCCACGCUAUUGCAGCGACCACCUAUCAGAACGAGAACAUGUACAUACUAUGCUCAUCUGCAUAUACUCUCCAAACUCUCAUUAACGUAUAUGUCGAACUUGUGUACUAUCUCGACGAUGAGGAGGAUUGGAUUUUACUUGAUGACUUCGUCGACCUUAAGGUGAAGCCGCCCAAAUUUGUUUCGCGUGUUGGGCGACGUCGAACUGUACGAAUUCCAUCUGUUGGGGAGACCCGCCAAGUCCAAAAAUGCGAUCGGUGUGGCAACAUGGGACAUAAUAGAAAAACAUGCCACCAACCACUAAGAACUACAGAUGGAGACAUGUAAAACAUUAGCUGCACUAUUAUCUGGAUUUUGGAAAACGUUGUACUCUUAUUCACUUUUCUAUUAUUCAACCGAACCACUUGAUAUAUUUUUCAUUA
Non-coding RNA from Momordica charantia (bitter melon), 4361 nucleotides. The record is from RefSeq and is a predicted model, not a curated record. NCBI's taxonomy places the organism in Eukaryota, Viridiplantae, Streptophyta, Magnoliopsida, Cucurbitales, Cucurbitaceae.